UCUCCGUUGGUGAACCAGCGGAGGGAUCAUUACAGAGUUGCAAAACUCCCAACCCUUUGUGAACGAACCUGACAGUUGCUUCGGCAGAAGGCCCUUCACUGGGCAGCCCGCCGGAGACCACUAAACUCUUGUUUUUUUUAACACUGGCCUCUCUGAGUUUACUGUACUGUAAUAAGUCAAAACUUUCAACAACGGAUCUCUUGGUUCUG
This 209-nucleotide unclassified non-coding RNA is filed under the name root metagenome. RNAcentral's name for it is "partial contains small subunit ribosomal RNA, internal transcribed spacer 1, and 5.8S ribosomal RNA". The record is from RNAcentral.